GAAGUGGCUCAGUUUGGUAGAGCACCUGGUUUGGGACCAGGGGGUCGCAGGUUCAAAUCCUGUCUUC
Molecule: transfer RNA, 67 nt
Filed under: Lactobacillus delbrueckii subsp. bulgaricus
Lineage: Bacteria; Bacillati; Bacillota; Bacilli; Lactobacillales; Lactobacillaceae
Description: tRNA-Pro
Rfam family: tRNA
About the family: Transfer RNA (tRNA) molecules are approximately 80 nucleotides in length.
Source: RNAcentral